RNAcentral lists this long non-coding RNA (39155 nucleotides) under Solanum tuberosum (potato). RNAcentral describes it as "long non-coding RNA (STUB_LNC011915)". The record is from RNAcentral. Lineage: Eukaryota; Viridiplantae; Streptophyta; Magnoliopsida; Solanales; Solanaceae.
CUUAAGACAACAAAUUACGAGAUUUUUGCUGCUCUUCAAAGUUAGAUGAUAAUCAGCAAAUAGCUCCCUUAAAUUUGGGGGUAGCUCUCCUGGCAGUUCAUUAAGAUUCUGACAGAAUUAUACGUUCAGAUGCUGAAGGUGUAAGAGUCCUUUGAAGCUUUUUGGUAAACAAGAAAUAUUGCUUCCACUUACAUUCAAAUUUUCCAAAGAGUGCAAAGAUCCUAAAUCCUCAGGAAGUCCACUCAAUAUGUUGUGAUUAUUAAGAUCAUGUGAUGUCAAGGAGGAUAAACCUGAUACUUGAUUCAAGACAAAACUUGAGGAAUGUUGAAAUUGUUGUUCAUGUGAGAAUCGUAACUUCCACAGUUUGCCAAGCUUAGUGAUGGAGGGAGGUGGUUGGGAGAUUGCAGUUUCGCUCGCAUCAAGUAUAUGUAAAUCUUGCAAAUCACCAAUGUUUUCUGGAAGCUUCUCUAGCUUGUUGCACCCGUCGAGGUAAAGACAUCGAAGUUUCAUCAAAUUGCAGAUAUUCGAGGUCUCCUAGAUGCCCAAUGGAUGAAGGCACUUCUCUUAUCCCAGUAGAAUUCAGAGUCAGCUGUGUCAAGUAAUGCAUAUCUCCAUUGAUUUCUGGAAAUGUAUCUAAUUUUGGGGAAUUAGAUAUCUUGAGCUUUUGAAGGGAUUUCAUCUGAAUCGAGCUUGGAAGCUUCUUUAAGUUCUCACAUCCAUCUAUCUCUAACAAACGGAGCUUCUUUUGAACUCCAAGAGAUAUGGGGAGCUUUACCAAUCCAGAACAUCGGUAUAUACCAAGACAUCCCAAUUGCUGUGAUUCAAAGAGGUUGUUUGGCAGUGUUGCAAAUUUAUUGAAACCUGAAAUACUGAGAUCUCUAAGAUUUUGAAUGGCGUCCAGAAUACUCUCAAGAACUUCACACUCAGUCAAUUGCAAAUUUCUAAGGCUGCUGAAAGAUGGAGGUAAGCUUCUUAUCCACGGGUAUUUUACAUAGAGUAUUGAUAAGCGCGGCAUAUCUCCACAGAUUUCUGGAAAUUCUUCUAAGCUUGUGCAUUCAAGGAGAUUGAGAGUCUCAAGAGAUCCCACGCAGACAAAUUUUGGAAUCUUCUUAAGUUUGCGAUAACCUUCCAAACUCAAAUAAGUAAGCAGUCUGCAAUGUCCAAAUGAGGAAUGGACCUCUUCCAAAUUCACACACCGUGUAAAUUUAGUGUCUCUAAGUUUGGCAUAUCACCAAAAUUAGGGGUUUUUCUUAACUCACAGCUGUCCAUGAGAUCCAAAUGCUUCAAGUUGCUCAAUUUCUGUUUCCAAAAAAAAAAAAGAACAGUGAGCUUAACUAGUACUCCUAAUAGAAAUAUUUUGUAGGAAAAAAAAAUAAAGAGAAGAUAAGGUUGUUAUGAUCAUUAAAGGCGGUAGCCAAUCUGGAAAAGAACUUUUGAGAUACAUAAUUGUCUUAAAAUCCAAAUAUAUAUUUCUUUUCUUUUAAUUUCAUAAUGAAAAUAAAACCUCUUUAAACCUAGAAAUAAUUCCUUCUCAUCUUUGUCCAGACAAUCAAAACUAAGCCUAAGCUUUCCUAAAAUAUCCUUGUGAGGGAUUCUCUUCAGCCGAUCAAUUAUGUGUCUCCAGUGCUUUUUGUCUCGUCCGUAAAAUGAAGAACCCAAAACUUUAAGAGCUAAAGGGAGUCCACCAGCAUGGUGCACCACUUGUCUUGAAAGUUCCAUAAAAUCUUCUUUUGGUGAUUUUUCUCUAAAAGCAUGACUACUGAACAAUUCAAGUGCUUCAUCCUCCGAUAAUAGUUGGACUUCAUACACGUUAUCCCCAACGUGACUGAUUAACAGGUGCUUGUCUCUUGCCGUUAAAAUAAUUCUGCUACCCCUACCAAACCACUCUGUCCCUCCAACUAAAAAUUCCCACUGUUCUUGAUGGUUUACAUCAUCAAGGAUGAACAGAACUUUCUUCCAGCGAAGCAUAUUCUUUUAAAUAUUCAUCCCUUCAUGCUCACUAGUUAGAGUCAAUUUUUCACCCAAGAGCUUGCAAAUGACAACUUGUUGUAGCCAUGUUAGUCCAUUUUUCUGAUGAAGUUUUCCAACAUCACCAAGAAAACAAUCAGCUUCACAUCGAUGGCGGUAUCUUUGAUGUAGAAUAUUUGCAAUUUCUGUCUUGCCGAUGCCGCCCAUACCCCAAAUGCCGAUGGAGCAAACAUCAUUUGAUUCCAUAUCUAAUAAUGAGGUUACUUUCUCAACCUGAGAUUUUUUACCCACUAAACUUUCCAGGAAAGGUGAAAUAAUUUGAAGUGACUUGGGAAAUAUGACAUCAACUAACUUCUUGAUGCACUCAGCCUCAUCCCUACAUUACAGUGAAAAUACUCUCAGAGUAAAUAAAUAGAAAAGGAAAGACUUGUCAUAGAUUAAUAUCUAAAGCAAACACAUAAUAAUGUCACAAAGGUUGUUCCCCCGCUCUCCCCCCCCCCCCUGGUGUCAUAAGGUAGCUUAAAUCAACUAUUAUGAAUUAUAACAUUUUAAAAUCUAAUUACAUCAUCAAACAACCAGAUAGCUAAAAGUUUGGUCCUUUUUCCUCUUGAUAAAGAGAAACCCGAAGAAAAGAAGAAGAUCACUUACUUGAAAUUUUGUAAAUGAUACCCCGAUAUUUUCCCAGCCUCCGCAAAUGCACCCGUCCAUCUCUGAACCUUCUCCAUAUCAUCUUUGCAUUUUUCCUCAUGUUGUAAAAAUGAAUCAGCAAAAGGGGGAUGUUGAUGGCACACAUCUGAUUGACUCACAUCAUAGAAGACUGGAAUCACAAUCUGCUCCAAUUCCUUUUUACACUUUAUGAUGUGUGCAAGCUCCUCUAAACACCAUCUUGACGAUGCAUAGCUUUUUGAAAAUAUCACUAUAGCAAAUUUAGACUCUUGUAUGGCUUUCAAAAGUUCAUCAGAAAUUGAUUUUCCCGUUUCUAGUCGCUCAUCAUCUUUAAAAGUGCGGAUCCCUCUUUGUUCCAAAGCAUUAUAGAGAUGACUCACAAAGUUUCUACAUGUAUCUUCACCUCUAAAACUCAAAAAGACAUCGUACUUGCAAAUUUUGGAAGAAGAAGCAUGAGACAUUGUUGAAGGAUAUAAGACUAACAGGUAACUUCUCAGCCCAACUAGCAACAUUAUUUCUCAGCUAUGUGAAUGCAUAAUUUGGUCAAAAAGAGUGAAACAGUUGAGUUGACCAACCUGGUCAAAAAGAAAGAAAAGACAGACAAAUUUCCAGUUUAAUAAUAAAGAACAAGACUUCACCAUUUUCACUAUUCCUAGUCUUUAUGAGGAACUUGUUAUCAUCUUCCUAUUUCAACUUAUAAAAUGUUAACUUUUUCAUUACUGUGAGAAAUUAAAGAGUAUAAAAACAGACAAGAAGACUUACACCAAAAAAGGCAAAGAAAAAACUAAAGUCAUUACAUUUUUACUGAUAUUAUUGUAAAGACUUUACCUUUUUCAUUAUUCCAAACCUCUGUAGGAAACUUGUUAUCAUCUUCCUAAUUCAUGACAUAUAAUUGUACUCUUUUUCAGUAUUGCACUGACAAAUUAAACUAAUGAGCACCAAAUUGGGGCACAAAUUUAAAUCUUAACUUAAUCAUACCUUUCGGAAAAUUGAUAUAAAUUCGUCGCCCUAACUGAGAAAUUGCCCAGAAAUUGAAGAAAAAAAUCGUAAUAAUUUAGAAAAAAACACACAAAAAGCAGAAAAGAAAACUGACCACAUCAAAGAUAUAAGCAGAAAAGAAGAGAACCGCACUCUUAACUAUUGAGGUUUAUAAGAGCUUAUUUGGUCAGAUAUAUCAUUUUUAGGUUUAUCUUUAUCAAGAGGAAAAUGGAAUAAAGAUUCUUGACAAGCUGACGGAGUAUGUCGGAUUUUAGCGUUUUCUUUAAUAGUGUUUAUUAGCAAUAAACAAGCUUUUUUUUUUACUCGUAUUGAAGAUGCGUUUUUUUCUAAAAUGAUCCGUAUUGAGUUAAAUUAAAAAUUAGAAAGCAAGUAUUUGUGUUAAAUCAAGAUAGCCGGGAUGAUAUGAAAAAAACAAAAAUACAUGAUAUUAUUUAAUUUAAUUGAAUGUUUAAACAAGAAAAUUGAAGCACUUCCGUCAGUUAUUAUUCAUGCAAAAAUACAUUAAAAAAAAUCUCAAAAAAAAAUCAAUGUUCAUACAUUAAUUUUUAUUUUUUUUAAAAGGAAAACUAACGAACACAAGUUAUAUGGACAAACACCAACUAAAAAUCGCAUACCCUUUCCCAUAGGCAGUGGCGGAGGCAGGAUUUCCAUCGAGGGGGUUCAAAAAGAUAAGUAAGCACACUAUUAGUAUCCAUAUAAGCGGGGCGGGUCAAAUAUAAAUGGGUCGGAUCAGAUAUAAGCAACUAAAAAAAAUUCAACUCUACCUCAACACAAACAAUAAAAUCGAGUAAUCAUAUGUUUGACGAGAUUUGUAUUUUUUAAAACUAUAAUUAUGGGUCUUGUCUCUGUCAUUGUUGUAUACAAACGUUAUUUAAUUUUUGAAACUAACUAAGGAAUACUUCUAAAUCCGAUCAUACUGUAGCAAUAAAAUUUGCGUCGAUAAAAUAAUUAUCAAGGUUGAAAAAUAUCGCGACAAUUGUAUUUAUUUAUAAAUUUUAAAUGAUUACUCUUAUUUAUUUAAUCUUACUUAUAAUUAUAUUAAUUCUUAAUCAAAUAUAAAUUAAAUGUUUUCUUAAAAUGAGUAUGAAAGAAUGUAUUUUUAAUUUUAAUUAUGACAACAACGUUUAUAAGUUUUACUUAAUUUUAUAAAAAUGGAAAAUUAAAUUUAUUUUUUUAAUAUCUAAUAAAUAGUAUAAAUCUCAAUAGGUUUUCAAACAAAACAAAAAUUUUCAUUUAUUUAGAAAAUUAAAUGAAAAUCGGCUGAAAUAUGGGGGAAAAAAAUGCUGUUACAGGGAGUCGAACCUGCGACCCAGCACUUAUAUUGCGAAUUCUUGAACCCCCUUUACCACUAAACCAAGCCCUUAGCUUAUGUUCAGGGGUUCAUCACUUGGUAUAUACAUAUAAAUAAAAAAAUUGACCCUAUAUAUACCAUGUAAUUUUUCCAACGAAGGGGGUUCGGAUGAACCCCUUGGAUCCAUGUAGAUCCGCCCCUGCCCAUAGGACUCAAUUAUUUUUAAGAAGUAUUAAUUUUCAAAUUAAAAAUGUCUCUCCAAAUACAAAUAGCCUUUUACAUAUAAACAGACCUUUGCCUCACUCAUUGCUUCUUUUCUUUUUUCUAUGACCACUAUCAUCACUCAUUGCUUCCUCUUCAUACACCAGCCGAAUUCCCCAGCAUACUUCUUUCUCCAGCCCGUACAUGUGAGAAAACUCCAACAUGUAAUAAUCAUUUGGAUUCUUCCCUUCUUUAUUGCCAGAAGCAUUCCACAAUGUUUCAAAUGGUAUGUACCAGCAAUAAAUGAAAGGAUCAUUGGAAAAAGACCCACUCACCCCAUACUUCAAGGAAUAUUUUCUUUCAGGGUCAGAUUUGCAGACCAAUGUAGCUUCUAAUCUUAUGUACUUUGUAGUAGGACCGUAGGUUAUCCAAAAACCCAUGAAUUUAUUGGUAUACCAAGAUGGGUUCAGAUCAAUUGACAUCUUUUCUUGAUUUAUAAAUGGACAAUCAUAAUCGAACAACUCUGAAAUUCUGACUCUGGGAAAAGUAAUGAGAAAAUAAUCCCUUUGAUGGAAGUCACACUGCAUGCAAUAGAAUAGAGAUUAUUAUUACUACUACUAGAAAUCAAUUUGACGAGAAUAAUAUUCAACAUUCAUAUAUGAGAUAAAAACCUGGAUGCAUGUCCUGAGAAAAUGAUGUAGGAACACAUUAACUUGUUCACUUGAGACGGCUCCACAGUUGGAUAUUACGAGCCUACACAGCCUAAGACAAUUAAUUACGAGAUCUCUGAUGCUCUUCAAGGCUAAAUGAUAAUCUGCUAAUAGCUCCCUUAAAUUUGGGGGUAGCUCUCCUGGCAGUUCAUUAAGAUUCUGACAGAAGUGUAUGUUCAGACUCCGAAGGUGUAAGAGUCCUUUAAGGCUUUUUGGUAAACAAGAAAUAUUGCUUCCACUUAAACUCAAAUAUUUCAAAGUGUGCAAAGAUCCUAAAUCCUCAAAAAGUCCACUCAAGCCUAAAAUUAUCAGUUUCCCAAGCUUGGUGAUGGAGGGAGGUGGUUGGUAUAUUGCAGUUUCGCUCACAUCAAGCUUACAUAACUCUUGCAAAUCACCCAUGUUUUCUGGAAGCUUUUCUAGCUUUUUGCACCCGUUGAGUAAAAGAUAUUGAAGAUUCAUCAAAUUACAGAGGCUGUCUGGUAGACUUACAAGAUCUUCACAACGUUUCAGACAUAGCUCAGUGAGGCCGCUCAGAUUCCCAAUGGAUGAAGGCACUUCUCUUAUCCCAGUAGACUUCAGACUCAGUCGUGUCAAGCAAUGCAUAUCUCCGUUGAUUUCUGGAAAUGUAUCUAAUUUUGGGUAUUUAGAUAUCGAGAGAUCUAGAAGGGAUUCCAUCUGAAUAGAGCUUGGAAGCUUCUUUAAGUUCUCACAUCUCUCUAUUAUUAACAAACGGAGAUUCUUUUGAACUUCAAGAGAUAUGGGGAGCUUUACCAAUCCAGAACAUCCGUAUAUACAAAGAACUUUCAAUAGCUGUGAUUCGAAGAGGCUGUUUGGCAGUGUUGCAAGUUUAUUGCAACCUGAAAUUCUGAGAUCACUAAGAUUUCGAAUAGUGUCUGGAAUACAUUCAAGAAUUUCACAAUCACCCAAAUGCAACUCUCUAAGGCUGCUGAGAGACGGGGGUAAGCUUCUUAUCCAGGGGGAUCCUAGAGAGAGUUUUGAUAAGCGCCGCAUAUUUCCACAGAUUUCUGGAAAUUCUUCUAACCUUGUGCAUUCCCUGAGAUUGAGAUCCUCAAGAGAAUCCAUGCAGACAAAUUUUGGAAGCUUCUUAAGUUUGCGACAACCAUACAAACUCAAAUAAGUAAGCAUUUUGCAAUGUCCAAUAGAGGGAUGGACCUCUUCCAAAUUCACACACCCCUCUAAAUGUAGCUUCUCCAAGUUUGGUAUACCACCAAAAUUAGGGGUUUUUGUGAACUCACAGCUAUCCCUGAGAUCCAAAUGCUUCAAAUUGCUCAAUUUCUGUAUUCAUUUAAAAAAAAAACGAAAAACUAGUUAACUAAAGUAGUACUCCUAAUAGAAAUAUUUUAUGGGAAAAAAAAUAAAGAGAAGAGAAGGUUGUUAUGAUCAUUGAAGGCAGUAGAAAACGUGGAAAAGAGGGAGUCCCAUGUAAUUCUAUCAACCAAAGCUAGAACAGAUUAAAACAGAUGGAAAGAAAUCACCUAGGAGUCGUUUGGUAGAGUGUAUAAAAACAAUGCUCAAUAGAGUCUAUUAGUAAUACUUGCAUUAGUUAUGUAUAGAUUAUUUCUCAUGCAUUGUUUAGUUUGGUGUAUUAAAAAUUGUAUGCAUUGUAUAAAAAUAUUUAUGUACAAAAAUAUCCUCCACAAUUAUGGUGGAAAAGAUGUAAAAAUGCUUUUGAGGGGUAAUUGGGUCUAUGCUAAUACAUGUAUUAAAUUCAUUUGCAUUACUAAUACCUAGAAAUCCAUGGUAUUAGUAAUACACUCCACUAAUAUAGGGAUUUGAACCUGAGAUCUCAUAGUGCUCAAUCCACUUCUUUGACACCUAGUACACAUCCUUGGGUGCGCUUGCAAGUUCUUUAUUAGGUAGAUAUAAUUGCAGGAAGUAAAUUACUAUACAAUUAUAAAUCCAAAGAUUCAAAAAUAUUUACAUCAUGACUGUGAUGAAGUACUUCAUUUAUAUCGUGAAUGUCAACAAAGUUAGGUUCCGCCUAAAUAUGUUGAAGAUUUAAUUGGGAAAAGAAAGGUGAUGAAAAGAGAGAGGGAGAGAUUAUAUAUUUGAUUUUUGUGAUGAAGUUUGUACUUGUAAGAACAAUAUUUGAACUUUCAAGUGAGUGAUUACCAAAAAAAAAGAUUAAAAAAUUGGUGUUAAUUGUGUAUAACAGUACAUUUAUUUAAAGUAGCAUUUAAAUCGUGGACGGAUUAAUUUACGUGCAUUGACCUAUCAAAACAUUUAUUUCAAGCUCAUGAUUACGUUGAUUAAAAUUAGAAAAAGUAAAUUACAUGAAAGCGAGUUUAUAUACAUGAUGUUCUAUAAUUACAACUAUUUGUUCAGAUUUAUUAUUACAUUAUUCUGUACAAGAACUUUGCAACAAAUCUAGUUGAUGUAUAAUAUUUGAAAAUUUAAAACCAAAAUAGUAGAGUUAAUUGAUUUUAAUCCCUCGAAGGAGAAAACUUUGGUUCAAGCCGAUCCUAAUAGUAAUAUACAAUCAGUUAGCACACCAAUUGGAGUAUGUAGCAUGCGGACCGAAAAAGAUGGUAAUGUUAUGAGUCCUACAAUAGCUAAGGCUAUUCAAGAAAGUCAGGCUGCCAUGUUACUCAAACCCAAUUUAGCGAUCAAGCCACCCAUGGUCACAUUGAGCAUCUCAGCUCAUGAGGUCACUUCCCAAAAUUUGGAUUCACCUGAUGAACAUCAAGGUGAAUUUGGACAGCUCUUAUCAUCCACGGGAAAUGAUAAAGUUUUGGUGAAAGGUAUGUCACCACUCUGUCAAGCUAAUUUUACAAAUGAUUUGUUAAUUUCGAAAGAAAAACAACAAGGGGAGAUGAGUACUCCUAGGUGGGCUGAUUUUGGUUGAUGAAGAGAGCAUGUUUCACUCCUCUUUUGAAUAGAAAAUUAAGUCCACAAGCUCAAGAAUUUGUACCUAAAAGUACAAUUGCAAAGAAGAAUGAACAAGAGGCCUUAGCAUCAUGAUUUAGUCCAAUUAAUGCUUAUGCUAGUGAUUUGGGUGAUGAUUCUUUUGAUGAGGAUGAGGAAGAUAAUAUGUUGGACAUAUGCUUUGAUAAAGUGGCUAGAGAUGGGGAUAUCUCACCUAGGCAUCAAAGAAGUGGAAGCAACAAAAACAAAAAGAAGACACAUGGAAGACAACACAGAUGGGAUGGUAAUUUGACAGCGGAGUUUGUUCCAAGGCCCCUGCCGAUGCGACUGGCAAAGCAAAAUCAUAUGAUAGUGUCAAUAGCUUCAACAAGAUCCCAUACAUUCAAAAAGAAAUGAUGAAGUAUCAAAUUUUGUUGGACAUAUUUGAAGAAGACAAGAGGAAAAUACUUUAGGUUACUUUAGAUGGGCUAUCUAUCAUUGUUAAUUCACACAUUUGUAAAAAUAAGUUUGAGGUUGAUAACUCAACUUUCUUCUUGAAUUUUAUAUUUGUGCAUUAUUUAAGCAUUCUCAUUUGUAAUAUCAUCAUAGAGUGUAUUACGAAUUCUGUUAUGAUUAUAGAAUAUCUAGUUCUCUCUAGCUUUUAUUUUCUUCAUGCUUGUUAAUUAGUAGAGGUUCGUUACCUCAUAGGAUUUGACAAGGUAAGGCCUAGCCCCCCUUGCUUGUACUUAUUUUUUGUUGAGGAUUUUUGUUUUUAAUAAAAAAACUGCUAGACGCUCUGUCUAGUGGUAUUAAAAAUAAAUCAAUUUUGAACUAUAAAAAAUAAAGGGAAAAUGCAUAAGUACCCGCCAGCCUAUACCCGAAAUCCCAAAGACACACCUAACCUUUACUAAGGUCCUAUUACCCCCCCCCCCCCNNNNNNNNNNNNNNNNNNNNNNNNNNNNNNNNNNNNNNNNNNNNNNNNNNNNNNNNNNNNNNNNNNNNNNNNNNNNNNNNNNNNNNNNNNNNNNNNNNNNNNNNNNNNNNNNNNNNNNNNNNNNNNNNNNNNNNNNNNNNNNNNNNNNNNNNNNNNNNNNNNNNNNNNNNNNNNNNNNNNNNNNNNNNNNNNNNNNNNNNNNNNNNNNNNNNNNNNNNNNNNNNNNNNNNNNNNNNNNNNNNNUUCGGGCAUAGGCUGGGGGGGUACUUAUGCAUUUUCCCAAAAAUAAAUAAAAAAUACUUCAUUUAAGUUAUCUAUAGCCCAUUCCUAUAGAAAACAAAUACAGUUAUCCUACGUGGCACUAUCCUUGAAAAAAUUGUCAACACGCGCUGGGCCCACAAGAUAGUGCCACGUAGGCCGAAAAGGGGUAGAAAAUUAUAUAUAAAAUAAGUUCAGGGGGGUAAUAGGACCUUAGUAAAGGUUAGGUGUGUCUCAGAGAUUUGGGGCAUAGGCUGGGGGGGUACUGAUGCAUUUUCCCUAUAUUUAAAGCAAUUUCACCUUUGAAGGUUCAUAUAACAAAAAUAUAAAUAUUUAGUUAAGAUGAAUUACAGAAACAAGUAUAUAGCCAGCUGUCUAAUAAUUGUAAGAGAGUGUUACCUUUGAUAUUGGCCAAAGUUCAACAAGCCUACUUUCAGGUAAACAAAGCACAACGAGCUGUGAUGGUUCAAAGCUCUCUGGCAAUGAAAUUGAAGGAUACCCUAUCCAAUCAAUAAACCGCAGGCUGGAAGGAAGAUAAGUGACAGCGCAGUUUGAGUUAAAAGAUCCACCACCAACUAUGGGUAUUUUUAAGCUUUGCAUCCUCUUGAAAAUAUUGCUAUAAUCGACAAGAUCAUCUUCAAAAUAGUAAUCUUUAGGGAUACAUAGGCUUUCCACCUUUUCUGUUAUCUGUAUAGAAUGAAGCACAUAUUUAAUAGCUAACAAAUAAAAAUGAAACAAAAAGAUUAAUAGAACUACGAGCUUCCAAAAUUAUUAAUUACGUUAAAUAUUGCUUACCAACUUCCCUUUAAAAAGGUCACAAACUUCCUCGGGAAGCCAUAUUCUACUGUUAGCGUACUCUUCCCGUAUGACAUUUUCUCCCAUUUUUCUUAUCAUAUUAUGCAUCACAAUACUAUUAUUCAGGUCGAUUGAUAAUAGAGAUUUUUCGAUAAGGUAAUCUAUUAGAAAACCACGACUCAUAUAUCUCCGUACUAGUUCCACACAAAGAUGAAAAUCAUAUCUAGUCAAACAUGCAAUAUCUAGAAAUGCAAUAUCUAGAAAUAAUUCCUUCUCAUCUUUGUCCAGACCAUCAAAACUAAGCCUAAGCUUUCCUAGAAUAUCCUUGUCAGGAUUCUCUUCAGCCGAUCAAUUAUGUGUCUCCAGUGCUUUUUAUCUCGUCCAUAAAAUAAAUAACCCAAAACUUUAAGAGCUAAAGGGAGUCCACCAGCAUGCUUCACCACUUGUCAUGAAAGUUCUAUAAAAUCUUCUUUUGGUGUCACUUGCCUUGAAAGUUCCAAAAAUCCUUCUUUUGGUGAUUUUUCUCUAAAAGCAAGCCUACUGAACAAUUCAAGUGCUUCAUUCUCAGAUAAUAGUUGGACUUCAUACACAUUAUCCCCGACGUGACUGAUUAACAGGUGCUUGUCUCUUGCUGUUAAAAUAAUUCUGCUACCCCUACCAAACCACUCUGGCUCUCCAACCAAAAAUUCCAACUGUUCUUGAUGGUUUACGUCAUCGAUGGUGAACAGAACUUUCUUCCAGCGAAGCAUAUUCUUUAAAAUAUUCAUCCCUUCAUGCUCGCUAGUUAGAGUCAAUUUUUCACCCCAGAGCUUGCAAAUGACGACUUGUUGUAGCCAUGUUAGUCCAUUUUUUCUGGUGAAGUUUUCCAACAUCACCAAGAAAACAAUCAGCUUCAAAUCGAUGGCUGUAUCUUUGAUGUAGAACAUUUGCAAUUUCUGUUUUGCCGAUGCCGCCCAUACCCCAAAUACCAAUAGAGCGAACAUCAUUUGAUUCCAUAUCUAAUAAUGAGGUUACUUUCUCAACCUGAGAUUUCAAACCCACUAAGCUUUCCGGGAAAGGUGAAAUAAUUUGAAGUGACUUAGGAAAUAUGUCAUCAACUAGUUUCUUGAUGCACUAUGGAAAAUAACAUUGUUGGGAAAAUGAAUCAGCGAAAGGGGGAUAUUGAUGGCGUACAUCUGAUGGACUCACAUCAUAGAAGACUGAAUCACAAUCUGCUCCAAUUCCUUUUUACACUUUAUGAUGUGUGCAAGCUCCUCUAAACACCAUCUUGAGGAUGCAUAGCUUUUUGAAAAUAUUACGACAGCGAAUCUGGCAUCUUCUAUGGCUUUUAAAAGUUCAUCAGAAAUUGAUUUUCCCGCUUCCAACCGCUCAUCGUCUUUGAAAGCAUGGAUUCCUCUUAGUUCCAAAGCCUUAUAGAGAUGACUCACAAAGGUUCUACGCGUAUCUUCACCACUAAAACUCAAAAAGAUAUCGUACUUGCAAACUUUGGAAGAAGAAGCAUGAGACAUUGUUGAAGAAUAUUGCUGAAGACUAACAGGCAAGUUUAUUUCUCAGCCAUAAUUUGGUGUAUGGGGGAAACUUCCAUUCAUCUUCCUAUCUGUUACUAUAUAAAAUUAAAACAACCAGGUCAACAAGAAAGAAAAGACAAAGCUUAAUAUUAAAGAAUAAGGCUUCACCUACUUCACUAUUCCUAGGGAACUUCUUAUCAUCUUCCUAAUCCAUGAUUGUGAGAAAUUAAAAGACACAACUUGGGCCUUAGACCAAAAAAGGGAAGAAAAAACUUGUUAUCAUCUUCCUAAUUCAUUUGUACUACUUCUAAAAUAUUUUAUUGUAAAGACUUUACCUGUUUUUCAUUAUUCAAGACCUAUAUAAGAAACUACUUAUCAUCUUCCUAAUUCAUGACAUAAAAAUUUACCCUUUUACAGUAUUGCACUGAUAAAUUAAACAUAUGAGCACCAAAUUGAUACCUUUCAGUAAAUUGAUAUAAAUUUGUUGCCCUACCUGAGAAAUUGCCCACAAAUUGAAGAAAAAAUCGUAACGAUUGAGAAAAAAACACACAAAAAACAGAAAAGAAAGACUAACCUCAUCAAAGAUAUAAGCAGAAAAGAAGAGAACCACACUCUAACACUUUGUUUGGAUCAUUGUUAUCCAUUGUUUCAUAAUGUAUUGUAUUGUAUUAUACUCUAUUGUACUGUAUUGUGUUGGUUGAUACAAUGUUUGGCUAGACUGUAUUGUUUGUUGUUGUUUAAUAACAUUUUUAUUGUUUAAUUGAUUGUAUCGUAUUGCAUUGUAAUUUAUAAAUUUACUAAAACAUCCUUAAUUAUUCUAGGGUAGGAGGUUUGAUUAGAAUUAAAUAAUAUAAGGUAAAGGGUAAAUAGUAUUAUGAAAUAUUAUGUAAAGAUAUAAUUGGAAAAAGAAAUUAAGUAACAAUUGAAACACACCAAAUUGGUUGUUCCAUAAAAUGGGGUUUUUUAUUGUUACGUAACAACAAAAUUUAACAAUACAAUACAAUACAAUACAUUUUAAGUAACAAUGAAAACAAACAUUGUAGGUACAGUAACGAUACAAUACAAUAUAAUGGGUAACAAUGAUCCAAACAGAGUAUAAGAGCUCAGUGUUAAGUGCUAAAGGCAAAAUACUUUUUAAGCCCAAAAAAGAGAAAAUGGGUCUGAUAUAGUUUUUAAUUUUGUGAGUUAAGAGUUAUUCUAUAGAGAUAAGUGUCAAAAACACACUAAAUUAUCCUUUUUUUUUUUAGUUUUAUACCUAAAUUAUUGAGAGUGUGAGUUUUAUACCUAAAUUAUCAUUUUUUAGUUUGAAAAACACACCUCAGUGGUGUGUGUAAUGCACUCUCUCUUUUAUUUGAAAAAAUCUUGACACAUGACAUUCCACAUUGAUAAAAUAUUCAACCUUGACAAAAAUUUACAUAAGAGUAUUACUUGUAUUGUUUAAGUAUAAUUGCAUUACGAAAUAUAAUAAGAAUCGAUCCUUAGUAAAAAACAAGGGACUUGAUAUAAAAAGUUAAAAUAUGUAAUAGAUGUUAAAAAGUAUAAGAUCUAAAUAUCCUGAAAAUUAUACAAAUAAUUUCUCAAAUCUCAAAAAUCUUAUAAUUUCUAUAUCACAUUUCCUACCAACUAUAUUUUAUGUAUGUGAAAUAAUAAAAUUGAUAAAAAGAGAGUUGUAAAUAGCAUAUCCAUUAUAUACCUGAUGAUGAGAAGUGAAGAGCGCACAGUUGCCAAAUAAAAUCUGAAAAUGUAGAGAAAUAAAUAAGAAUUAGUUAGCAAACUCAAGAAAAUCUUCAUAUAUUAAAUAUACAUUGUUGAGAACUAAAAUGAGCAUAAGAGGAAUAAAGUAGUUACCAAUCAACAAUCUAUAUAUAAUAUAAAGCCAAAUGUAAAAAAAAGUGAUGUGGCACCUCUCUAAGGCCUUCAUUGCUAAUAUAUAUAAUAUAAAGCCAAAUGUAAAUAAGGUGAUGUGGCACCUCUCUAAAGCCUCCAUUGCUAUUUUUUUUUUUUUGACAUUUUUCUCUAUUUUAUCUUAUUUUUUAAUUAAAGAAUUAAUCAUAUUCUAUUUAGUAAUCAUAUUAAUUUAGUGUCUAUAAGUUAUUACAUUAAUUGCUAAUUAUUAUAUAUAUUAUAUUGAAGAAUGGAAAAGGUCACUAACUGAAAUCAAUAAAGCCCAAAAAAUAACCUUUUUCCGUUAUUACCCCAACUAAUAAAUUCAUAAAAUCUUUUUAUUGUCCUUUUCUUAUUCAUCCUUUUUUUUCUCCUCACUACAUUUUGUGCCUUUUUCAUUAUUUUCCUGCCUUAAUAUUUUGCAAAAAUUAACUAUAAUUUUAUUUAUUUUGUUCACCAUUUAACAUCAUUAAUCACUUUUUUCUAAUACCUUUCUCUAUUCCUUCUUAAAUAUAUUACUAAAUUACAAUUAAGACACUAAUAUCAAUAUAGUUACAAUUUUAUUGACUACUAUAUUACUCUUUUAAUUUAUAUUAUUCAAUAAAGUUACAAAUUUAUUGAUUACUAUAAAUACUAGAGCAUAUCAUCUUCACCAACAGUAAGAAUUUUUUCUCUUCUUCUUUCUUCAUUAUAUUUAUACUAAAGUGUACAUCACUUUGUUUACGGCUAAUUUUAUUAUAUAUAGAUGUCACUAACUUCUAUUAUUUACAGUGUAGAAGAUAAGAUGAGCAUAUGACAAUUUUGGGAUUUCAAACUCAAAUUCAAUUUUGAUGAGUAUUAUAUAUAAUUUAUGUUACUCUUCUCAUUUUAGUUUGUUUGAUGUCUCUUAUUUAUAGUGUUCUUUCUUAUUUAUUUUUUCAUUUGUGUUGUUUUUUUCCUCACUAUUUUUGAUUUUACUACACUUAUUAUUCCAUGCAUAUUUUUUGUGAAUAAGUUUUAUUGUUUAUAAUGGAAGAUGCAUAUGAUAAUAUUUAGGGAUUUAAGUUUAAGUUUGAUGAACAAAUCAGUAAAGGAUCCCCUCAAUUACUAAUUUGUCCAUUAAUCUUCAGUGGUAUAUUGGAUGUUGGUUAUGUCGAUAAAUUAAAUAUUAGAGGAAAGGAUCAUCUACCUUGGUACUUCUACAAAGAUUCUUUUAUCUAUUAAUUAAUUUUAAUUUAUUCUUAUACUAAAUUUUUUAAAAAAAAAUUCAGGUAAAUUGUUUUUAACCUUGAAGGCUUGAAUCGUUUAGUUCAUAGACCUUCAAGAUUUUUUUUUUUGAUUCAACAUUGUAUAUGUUUUUUUACCUUCACAAAAAAUGAAUUUAAUUUUUGUGUUGUUAUGUUAAGUUGAGAAUAAUAAAAUUAAUUUGAGAAUUCCAGAUUUUUUUUUGUUUAUGUUUACCUUUGAGAAUAAUUUAGAAAUAUUAACUAACUUAUAACUAAAGUUAAAGGAAUAUUAAUUUAUACAUAUAAUACUUUGAGUUUAAUUUAUUUGAAUACUUUAUAGUAUUUAUGUAAUUGAGGUUAUGUAUUUCUCAAUCUAUUCAUUUUAUAUAAAUAAAAUAUGUCGUAUAUUAUAAUUGUAGUAAAAAUUAGUCAAGAUAAAAAGUGAUUUAUAAAUAUUUUAUAAGCUAAGAUUAGUGAAAGGUGAAAAAAAAGGUUGAUUCAUUAUUAAAGAGAAUAAUAGCAACUUUCAUAAAAUAUGUAUAUUAAAAGGAAAAAAAAUAAGUAUGAAGAGACUGUCAUAUUUGUAUGAAAGAGUAAUUAUUUAAAAUUGUAAUUGAUCCUACUCAAAUCUCAACAAAUAUUUUAGAGCUAUUUUUAUUUGAUGAUCAAGGAUAUAAUAUUGUUUAAUGUUUUGAGCUUUCUAAAUUUGAUUUAAUAUUUGUAUUCGCGAGAAAGAUGCAAACAAAAAAAAUGUGUACAAACAAUGAAAGAUCGAUUUGAAAAAUGUCACACAAAAUUAUAAAAGUAAGAUUGAACACUAACUAAAGUUUUCAUCAACAAAUAAACUCUUGAGAAACAUUAGAAUAUAUUUUUUAAUGUAUUUUAAUUUAUUGACAUGUGAUCUUCAUAAUCUAAAAUAAAUAAUAGAUAAAGAAAAGGAAGAUGAUCAAUUAUAAUUAUCAAUAUAAUUCUAUAUCAUAAAAAAUACAAAGAAAAGUUAACUAACAGAAAAUUUUAAUUUUUGAAUUUUCCUUUAAAAUUAGUUGAAGCAAAAAAGUGAACUAACUUAAUUAUCUUAAAGGAAAGAUACUGAAAAUAUUAAAUAGGCAAAAAUAAAUAAUUGAAAAGGGAUGUGGAAAAAUGUGGCACCGAAAAUCAUUUUGAAAUGUAACUAAAAAAAAGAGAUAGAAUUACAUAAAUACAAUAAAAUUAUCCAAAUGAAAAAUAAUAGGAACAAAAAUAGAACAAGAAACUCAUAUAAACAAAAAAAAAAUNNNNNNNNNNNNNNNNNNNNNNNNNNNNNNNAAAAAAAAAAAAAAAGAGAGAGAGAGAGAAAUUUCAAAAUGUCAACUGUCAAGAAUGAAACAUAUAUAUAAUUAAUUAAUUUGUUUCUUUUUCUUAAUUAAGUUCCUGAAAUUAUGAUUUGUUUAGAAAGGUUUAAAUUUUCAGAUUUGAUUGCAUCAAUGUCUUACUAUUCUUGUCACAUUUAUAUCUAUAGUAAAGUUAGAUGUAGAUAAAGUGGUGUGGUCACUUUUUAUGAUCUAGAAAGUCAUUUAUCUUCUUUUUUUUCAUUAAUUAAUAUAACCAAUAAUUAAAAGAAUCUAUUAUAUUUAUUACAUUUAAUUAUAUAUCUCAUGAGUUAUAAAAAAAACCUUUAUUGUUUUGUAUCCUCUAUUUAUUAAUAUGUCUCAUCAAUUCUUUUUACGUAAUUUUUACAUUACAUGUAUUUUAGCUAGACAAAAUAAGAGUGAUGUAACACCUCUCUUUUCCCAAAAAUAGAAUUUAUUUAUUUAUUUUUAUUAUUCUAUUUUUUACUUUUGAUCUCAUUUUUAUCAAUAAUUAAUCAGAUAAAUUAAUUUUUUAUAAAAUAAUUUGAAAAUAUGAUUUUUAUCGUUGCAGAUAAUCAUUAUCCACAAUUAUACAAAGGAACGUGUCCAUGACCUUACAAUGCAAGUAAAAACGGACAACACCCCUCAAUACCUACACUUUUGAUGAAACUAUUGAUAUGUAUUGGUAUCAAUAAUCUUGCAAAUAGUAUGUGACUUCUUAACUUUUGAAGCUAAUGAUUCAACAAGUUAAUUUGUAUAUAUCAUUGUUCAAAUACUAUACUUAUUGAGAGUAUGAUAAAAAAAAUUAUUUUGAUAUAUUACUACAAUUCAUAUUUCUAAUUUGAAUUCUUGAAUGAAUGUAAAUUUAAUAUGAGCUCGAUACAUACUACAGUUCACUUAUAAGUUACAAUGCAUUGGAGUCAAGCAGGCGCAAAAGAAAAAAUAAAUAAUUGUGAUGUAAUGUGCUUAUGAUGUUCUUCAAUUCUGAAAGGACUGACAAUUUUACUUCUUUGUAUAGUUUAAUAUUAUUUCUUUUGUAAGUUUUAUUCUUUGUGAAGCCUUAUGUACAAAACAUAAUUUUUUAGACAUUUUAUGUCUUAACCAUAAAUUUUAAAGGAUAAGAUUCUUUAAGAGCAAUAUUUUAUUAAGAAUAAAAUAUGUUUAUGUAUUUAUCAAGAAAACAAGUUUUGUGCAGAGAUGUGAGAAGUUAACUAUGGAUGGUUUCAAAAAAAGUAGACGCAGACCAAAGAAGUAAUAGAGGGGUGAUUACACAGGAAAUAGACAUCUUUAACACUAAUUUAAUUGAAGUAAACAUAAUGUAUAAUUUUACCUUUAUAGGUUGAUAGCAUAAAAAAUUAACUCUGCGUUUUAGAAGAACAAAAAAUAAUUGUUAAAAAAAUGUUUUCGUAAAAAAUAUGUAUUAAAUAUAUUUACAUUUUUAAGCAUAUAAGCUUAUAAAUAUUUUAGAAUAAAUGAAAGGAAACUUAUGUAUAGAUACACAUAUAGAUGAAGGUUCAACUUAUUAAAUCAAAACUUACCUUUUUUAAUUAAAAUAAGGUGAACAAUUUUAGCGAUGUAGGUUUUUUUCAGAAGACCUACGAUUUUUAAGCGAUAUAAAAUCGCAAAAUAUAUAAAACAUAAGUACUAAUAAUAAACUAAAUUAAGAAUGAAAUUUGAUAUAUUUGAAUUAAACAUUACAAAGAAUUUUUAGAAUAUUUUUAACACUCAAUUAUUCUAAAAAUUAAUUAUUUGACGAAUUUAGCGAAUUAUUUCUAAUCGCACGAUGCGCGAUUAAGUUCAAUAGUUUAUAUUUAUAUAUUCAAACUUUUAUGGCAUAUAGCUGCUAAUCUAUAUAUUAUAUAAAGCUUAAAGAUGAAAGAUUAAUGUGACUUGAGUUGUAGAAGAUCACUGCACAUGCACUAGAUAUUACUCCAAUUCUAUUUGACAAGGAACAUGAAAAGUUCACGUAACUUUUGGAAGCUCAAGGGAAAAAAUAGUAAAUGUGAGAUAUGAAAUAGUAGGAUUGUAAAUUGAGUUCAAGUAAUCUGUAUUAGGUUAAUUAAUGGGGAGAUGAAAGAUUUCUAUCAAUUAAAUGUAGUUAAAUUACUGAUAAAUAACUUUUUUUCAAAAUGAUAAAAUGAUUACUCAACUUUUAACUAUUUAAUAUUUUAUUAUUUACAUGUUUUAUAACAUUUUUAUUUAGUCUAGGGGCAAAAUGGUAAUCCAACUUUGAAUGUUGGAGCUUCCCACUUACAAUAACAUAUGAUGAUGAUGAUCUAUGUAGGGGUGGAUCCACGUGGCUUCCAAGGGGUUCACGAACCCCUGGGUAAAAAAUUACACUGUGUAUAUAAGGUAAGUUUUCUGUAUUUUUGUAGAUAUAUUAAUUUAAAACCCCUUCAUAAACAUGAAGUAAGCUAUAGCAUAGUGGUAAACUUCUUUUUAAAUUGACCCUACUGUCCAGGGUUCAAGCCCCAUUGUGAGCAUUUGUAUUUUUAGCUUCUCUUCCUUUAGUUUCAGGAUCAAUCGUUUAUACUUUUAUUUUUCGAACCCCCUGAAUGAAAUUCCUAGGUCCGUCACUGGAUCUAUGACUUUUAUCAUUGUUUUCAGACCUCAUGUAUACCAAUCAAUAGCUGAAGCAAUUCAAGUUGCAAUUCGACCCCAGGCGGAAGUGCCUUUGUUGAUUCUUUUGCAAUUUGAUCAAAUAUUGUCAGGUACAGUCUUUCUUUGACUCUCAUGAACUUUACUGACGCAUAUUUUCAUCGAUUCUCCUUAUAGCUCUAUUUUCUACUUCAUACAGAUCAACCGAGACAUACUCAACUCAAUCAAUGCUUCUACUUGGUGCAGAGCAACCAAAACAAAUAUUGUAAUAAUCUUUACAUUGUUGGGCCCGGGCUAACCUUACUAGUAUAUACAAAAGUGACUAACAUAUGGUUCAUAUAUAUAUAUAUAUAUAUAUAUAUAUAUCCUUUAUCAUUAAAAGUGGUUCAGGUAUAUCAUAUUUUUCUAAUGGAAAGAAGGAAAAUUUUAAUUUUAAAUUAUAUUUUUGAUUUUUUUUAUAAAUAAAUUCUUGUAGGGUACAUAUAAUUAUUUUAGCAAAGGAUUUUUCUCACACAUGAUUUAUCUUUUUCGACUUUUGUGAUUUAACACUUAAUUUGAGUGUAAAAUAUUUCCCUUAUAGAUCUAUUUGCUUAUCAUUAUUUGAGUUUUUUAUUCUUAUAUUCUUUUAUUUUUAGUGUAAAAAUAUAAGAAAUAAAAGGGCCAGAGAAAAAAUUGGGCAAUCAUCAAAAUUGAUUAUUAUAUAUACAUUUUAAUCCUUGAUCAAAGUUUAUGGAAUCGAAUUUUGAAACUAUCUUUAAUAGACAAUAUUUCAUUUACAAUAUUUCUUAGAUAUAUGCUCAUGUGUAAGUUAUAACAAUCACACAGAAAAUGACUCAAACACCAACAUAUUUAGUGAAAUUUUGAAAGGAUGGUGGAUACUCAACGUACCUACCUUAUAAUGGUAACGAAGUUGUUUCGGACUUGAAAACCAACAUUACAAAUAAAAAUUUCAUCCAUCUAUCGUUGAUACAAACCCCUUAUAUACAAAUUGUACCAACAAUGUAGAACAUAUUCUUAACAUACCAUCUUGUAAUACGUGUUUGAUUGAAUACGAAAUUUAAGAAAGAAACAAAAGCAUUUGAAAUAUGUGAUCUAAAACAAGUCAUCAGUCAUUGCAUCCUUUUCAUACACCAGGCGAAUUCCCCAGCAGCGUAGUUCUUCCCACUUCCUGUACAAAUCAUAUACCUCCAACAUGUAAUAAUCAUUUGGAUUCUUCCCUUCUUUAUUGCCUUCUCCAUUCCACAAUGUUUCAAAUGGUAUGUAGACGCAACAAAUGAAAGGAUCGAUGAACCUCGAAUAUCGUUGGAUGCUGUUAUACUUCAAGGGAUAUUUUCUUUCAGGGUCAGAUUUGCAGAUCAAUGCAGCUUUUAAUAUUGUGUCCAGUCCAGUAGGACCGUAACAUAACCAAAAACCCAUGAAUUUAUCGGUAUACCAAGAUGGGUUCAGAUCAAUUGAGAUCACUUUUUGAUUUAUAAACCGAUCAUAAUUGAACAACUCUGGAAUUCUGUCUUGAUCAGGAAAAAAAAUGACAAAAUAAUCCCUUUGAUGGAAGUCACACUGCAUGCAAUAUAAUUAUUAUUAUUACUACUAGAAAUCAAUCAAUUUGACGAGAAUAUUCAACAUUCAUAUAUGAUGAGAUAAAAACCUGGAUGCAUAUGUCUUGAGAAAAUGCUGUAGGAACACAUUAACUUGUUCACUUGAGACGGCUCCACAGUCGGAUAUUACGAGCCUACGCAGCUUAAGACAAUUAAUUACGAGAUCUCUGAUGCUCUUCAAGGCUAAAUGAUAAUCUGCUAAUAGCCCUUUUAAAUUUGGGGGUAGCUCUCCUGGCAGUUCAUUAAGAUGUGUGCAAUUCCUUUUUACACUUUAUGAUGUGUGCAAGCUCCUCUAAACACCAUCUUGAGGAUGCAUAGCUUUUUGAAAAUAUUACGACAGCGAAUCUGGCAUCUUCUAUGGCUUUUAAAAGUUCAGCAGAAAUUGAUUUUCCUGCUUCCAACCGCUCAUCAUCUUUAAAAGUGUGGAUUCCUCUUUGUUCCAGAGCCUUACAUAGAUGACUCACAAAGGUUCUACGCGUAUCUUCACCUCUAAAACUCAAAAAGAUAUCGUACUUGCAAACUUUGGAAGAAGAAGCAUGAGGCAUUGUUGAAGAAUAUUGCUAAAGACUAACAGGCAAGUUCUCAGCUUUGGGUAUAUAUUUGUUGUGCUGCUUAAUAAAGAGAAAUAUUCGAAGCCUAACUGGCGAAAUUAUUUCUCAGCUAUGUGAAUGCAUAAUUUGGUCUAUGGGGAAACUUCCAAUCAUCUUCCUACAAAUUGUAGAAUUACAUAUUUGUAGUUAUAUACAUUUUUCCAUAGGGUCUUUAAUAAUAUCCUUCAUCUUUGAAUCUUCUCCAUAGCAUCUUUGAAUUCUUCCUCCUGUUGAGAAAAUGACUCAACCAAUGGUGACUCACAUCAAUUUUUUCUUUCUUAUUAUAGUUAGUCUCUAGGGCAGCUUGAGCACACCUCGACUAAUUCCACAAGUCACUUUAUAAAUCAAUUAAUACGUUUAUUAAUAAUCUUCUAAGAACAACUAUCUUUUCCAUUCACCAGUGUUACAUGCCUCUUCAAUUCCUUAGAUGUAUAUCUCAUGUUUCACUUGUUCUUCUUUUUCCUUUUUAUAACAAGUUUAUCUAUUUUAAAUAUUACUCUUGAAAAUUCCGAUGGUGUAAGAUGAAUAUCAUUGAACUUCAGCUUAAGAAACCUACGAAUUUCCGUAGUUCAUUAGUUGACUAAUUCCACAGGAUACCUCCCACCUCCCACCAACAACAAGUAUCAGGUAAGUCUAUCCAUCAGGGAUAGGACAAGGAUAAAUGGGAAGACACCUAAUGUUUUUGUCUUCGUUGGAAUUUGAACCUAAGGCGCCAUGGCUCUCAACCACUUCAUUAACCACUAGGCCACACCCUUUAUUGGGAACUACUAUCAUCUCCCUAUUUCAACUCAUAAAACUGUAUCCUAGAUAUUCAUUAUUGUGAUAAAUUAAAGUCAUUACAUUUUUACUGCUUUAAAAUACUUUAUUGUAAUAUGGUCAAAAUUAACCCCAAGUUUCGACAUAAGAAGACAUGCAAUACGAGGAAUUCCAAGGAUUCGGUCACCCAUCAAAUGGGUCCAACCUCUAAUGAAGUUCAUAUGCAGGAUCAUUGUUCAAUGGGGACCAACUUCUUAGAAAUUUCCAGAAUGUUAUAUUCUAGGUGUUUUGAUGAUCCUCACAAAUGCAGGAAUCUGGUCCCUGGCAGAAUGCUCUCAUCCAAAUUCAAAUGGGAUACAGUUGUAAAGUUGUCAUGUCAGGUGGUAGGUGAAAAGCGCAGUGUACUGCACCAACAUGAAGAGCGGACGAGACUAUCUAUUUCAGUGUCUCACAAAUGCAGGGACCUGGUCUCGGGCUGAGUUCUCUCGUCCAGAUCUAUAAUGGGGUACAACUGGAAAGUUGUCGCGUCAGAAGUUGGUGAGGUCGUCAGUGUACUACACAAUCAAAAUCGGCGAGGUUGUUGUCCAACGGUCAAUAACUCCUUAUGAUUGACUUAGUUAACAUUACAAACAACAAAUUAAUUCAUUCAUUCAAAAGGAGAGAGAGCCAACACGUCUUCUCAAGAACUUACUAAGAAAAGUCUGUAAGGGACCUGGUCCCGGCAAGACUGUGUAUGUGAAAGGAAGACAACACAACUGUAAAGUUGUCACUUCUGAUGUGACACUAGUGCACGUCUUUAAAGAGAAGGUAGGCUCUUAGCCAAUGGGCAGUCCCAAGGAGUUUGUGGUCAUUUUAAUAUAGUCUCUUCCAACAAAAUACAAACUCAAGAUUUGGCAAGCUAAAACUCACAAGCAAAAAAAGAAGAAAGCCAUCUUCAACGAAGAACUCAAGCACAAGAACACAUACAACAAGGACCUGAUCAAGAGAAAGAGUGCUUUCCGUACCAGCUGCUGUUCUUGAUUGUUUGUAUUUGUACUUAACUUGUAGGAUUCGUUUCCCUCUUGUUAGAAAUGUUUCAAAACUUUGUUUGAGUCUUGUAAGAACAUAGUUAGGGGUAACUUUGUGUUUUACGGUCAAAAGUCUAUAUUAAUAAGUGAGGGUUAGUAUAGUGAGCAGUGUUGUAUCUGCUUAGGCUCGGUUGAGUAAUAGAUGAUAUUACUUAGUGUGGAGAUGUCAUGACCCGAGCCUACACCCUGGGUGGGACAUGCACUCGGAGACCAUUGCAGGCCCCAAGCGAACCCUUGGCCUGCUCACUUACUCAGCGGAAGACAAUAGUCGCAUCUAUAUUGAUACCUGGACUUAAUUGAACUGAAUAGAAAUAUCUGCAAAUGUUUUAAAAUAUUAAACAUUCAACUUGGCCAAAAGUGGCAACCCAAGUCUCAACCAUCAAAACAGGAAACAAAAGACUCAAGAACUAACUGUCUAUCUAUGAAGCCUCUAAAACAACUGAGAUGGAUGUUGGGACAAGCCCUACAACAUCCUAAUGAACUAAACUAGAAAGUAAUGAAAUGGAUCCUCCGGAAUGCAAUAAGGCUCACCAACUGACUCUGAGUGUUGAACAUGAUCAACGAGGCGUUGGAUGCUGAUCCUGGUUACCUGUGUCUGCAUCAUAAUACGAUGCAGGCCAACUGGCAUCAGUACAUUGAAUGUAUGAGUAUGCGAGUUGGAAUGCUAAAACAACAUAGGCUAGAAAGAAUCUGAGAGAAACUGAAGAACUUACCUGGCUCAACUCAACUCAACCUAACUGAACUCAUUUCAAUAUAAAGCAAUUUAAAAACAAGUGCAAUAUAAAGAAAAGAACUGUUUGAAAACACGACAUCAACUCUGUAUGUAUGCAAAGAUACAAAUAACUCUGAGAUGUAUGUAAAAAUACAAAUAAACUGAUGUAUAUAAAAAUACAAUACUUCUGUGGGAGUUUCUCUAACCGACAACCAUCACUUCAGAGCUAUAGUGAUGAUACAACGAUCUUCCUCACGCUGCCAGCGCAUCCUAUACCCGGCCAAAUGUAUAAGACCUGAAUUACCUAAUGGAUCCACUAGUCUAUUUCGAAAAGGGUUCAUCAUAAAAGUAUGACCCAUUUCUACCCAUGGUGGCUACAUGGUUUUAUGGAGAUGUGAGUUAUCUGAACUCAUGCUCGUCUCCAAUUCAGUGCUCAAUACUACUCCCAAAAUAUAUUGGCUCUUAUGUUUUAAAAACAUAUUUCUUCUGUGAUUUGAGAUUAGUGCUCAAAAACUUAGCUCAAAAGCUAUCUUGGAAAUCUCAGUUUCCCUGCUUGCUUCAUUUAGAAAGCUAUUACUCUUUUAUGAAAACUAGCCCAAAGGCUCUUUGGAAAUCUCAGUUUCCAUUCUUAUUUAAAUGUGAAAGACAUUUACUUUGGGAAAUACUUAGUCCCCAUAUGCUUCUUUGAAGAAAAGAACUCCGACUUAACUCUUUACUGAACUCAAAACUUAAGCCUUAAAACAAAGUUAAAACAUUUGUGAAAGACCUUUUUGAAAACUUUAAGAACUUAUCUUAACUUGACUCUUGACUUCUCUUGACUUUGACUCUUAACUGAUCUUGACUUGGCUCUUAACUGAUCAUUGAAUUGAAUUAUGGAUUCAAGGAUUAAGAUUUGUGAUUGGAAAGAUCUCAUGUUGUUUUAGGAAUGAUUUUUAGAUAGCUAAACAUAAGAAAAGACCGAAACUCAAAAUACGAAAGUGGGUCCGCGACGCGGAGGCAUAAUUUAAUUUUGGUUUCGAAAAUGUCUUUUGAGGCAGAACACCUUGUGUCAGCUCCGCGACAUGAAGCAUAAAUUUUCAAAAUAUGGGACCAAGAGGGCGACGCACAACCACUUUCUUCUUCGUUUUCCAGCCCCAAUUCACCCAAACACGGUUCUUUUUCUUAAAUUACUCGUAGAUACAGAUACCUAGCAAAUGUACCUAAAAACCUAACUCGAAACGACCCUAUAAUGCGACGUAACAAACUCAGAAACUUCCCAACUCAGGCAAAUUCAGGAACAAUAUAUUAAUUCAAGAAUAGGCAUCAAGAUCAUCAAUAUUCAUAUGCUUUUAGGACGAAUCCAAACUGUAAUAAAUAUGCUUGGCACGUGGGAGAACGAUCCCAACGUUAUGAGAGCCUCACAUACCUGAUCGAAUCAAAUCCUUAGCGAAAACACCAACCUUCUUGAUGAUAUAGCCCCUUUCUUCUUCCUCUUUUCUCUUCUCCUUUCUCCUUAGCCCUAGCGUGGAAAUUCUGGUUUUCUAAAACUGACUAAGUUCUGAAUUUACCCAUAUUAAACCCCUAAAAUCGGAUUAAAAUAAUAAGGUAGCGAAAAGACUACAAUACCCUUUAAAAUCCCGGUUUUGGACAUUUCCUUAAUCCAACAGCCUAACUUCCAAAGGGCAUAACUUGCUCAUACAAACUCGGAAUCGCGCAAACUUGGCGGCGUUGGAAAGAUCAUUCCAAGUUUUUUCCAACCAUAUAUGGAAUUACACCUAAAUCAUCCUGAGCUAGGAGUUAUGGCCGUCUGAAGUUGACCAAAAAAUCAGCUUUAACUUACAAUUUUCCAGAUUUGCUUGUACUUUCCAAAAAUAACUAUUUCCAGAUUUUAAACUUCUUUCUAGUUCUUUCUAGUUGUGGGAUGUUAUAGGAGAUUAGCAGGUUAAUCUCAAGGUGUAAACUGCGUUUUGCUUUUGCUUGUGAAGAUUCGUGAAAGCAGUUUGAAAAGUCUUGUGAGACAGGUAGGGGUGUUCAUGGUUUGGAUGAAAACCGAUCCAAACCGAAAAACUGAACCAAACCGAUUAAAUAAACCAAUUUUUAUUUGGGUUAGGUGUGGUUCGGUUUUAUAUUUUUAAAAACCGAUAGUAUAUGGGUUGGUUAUGUGGUUUUGUUCAAAAAAACCAAAGAAAUAACCGAACCGAACCGACAAAUUAUAUACAUAUAUAUUAUUAAUAUACAUACAUAAUAUAUUAUUUUUAUAAACAAUUUUAAAGAUCUUAUAUGUGUUUUCAUCAAAAUUUAUUUAUAAUUUACUUAUGAAGGAAAAAAUGCCCAAGGUGAGGAUAUUUAUCUUAUUGAUUUUAUGUAUAUGAGUCUCCCGGAAACAGCCUCUCUACCUCCACGAGGUAGUGGCAAGGUCUGCGUACACUUUACCCUCCCCAGACCCCACCUAGUGGGAUUUCACUGGGCAUGUUGUUGUUGUUGAUUUUAUGUAUAUGAGUGUGUCUAUGACAAUUCUUUAUAAGAUUGAAAAUAUCACUUUCUCUUUCUUCUAAGCCAAAAUAAUGAAUUUUGAAGCUUUAGUUAGAGUAAAUUCAAUGAUUGAAAGUUCUGUAAUGUCAGUCAUUCUAACUAUUUUCAUUUUAAAUGGAUUGUUGUCACUUUUUUCAUGUUUUGAAUGAAUUAUUUCUUUUAUUUUGUCUAUGGUUAAUAACCGAAUAACCAAACCAAACCGAACCAAAACCGAUAACUACCAAACCGAUAAAUAUAUACUCCCUCUGUCCCAUUUUAUGUGGCACCAUUUCCUUUUUGGUCAGUCCCAAAAAGAAUGUCACAUUUCCUUAUAUGGUAAGUUUAUAAAGGUACAAUUCCUCUUUUAUCCUUGUUGGUCCCACUUAAUCUUAAAAUAAUACUCCAAUACAUUUAUGAGGAGAGAGAAAAAAAGUCUACUUUUUAAAGGGCAAUUUGGUAAACAUUUCAAAAUCUUCAUUUAUUUCUUAAACUCCGUGCCCGGUCAAAUGUUGCCACAUAAAAAUGGGACGGAGGGAGUACUAUAUUUGGUUUGGUUUGGUUUUGAUAAUUUUAAAACCGAUUAAGUUGGUUUGGUUUUGGUUUUGACCAAUAACCGAUCCAAACCGACCCGUGAAAACCUCUUGAGACAGGUCAUGGUUUUACUCCCUUGAGCAAGGAGGUUUCCACGUAAAACACUUGUGCAAAUCUUACUUCCAGUUGUUUAUUUUCUACACAUUUUUAGUUACUGUUCUUGCUGAGUCAAGGGACCUGGUCCUUGACUGAUAGUGGAUGCAUACAUUCCAACAAGUGGUAUCAGAGAUUGACUUUUCUAACUGGUUAACAACAAGAAAAGAAAAGAUCUUGAAGGAAUGGCUGCACCACUAAACAGGCAGAGAAGUUAGUCCCCUGUAAGACCUCCUCUUUUUGAUGGUCAGUUCUAUAGACACUAGAGGAUUCGAAUAAGAGACUAUCUUAUAGCUGAGGACGUUGAGGUAUGGGACGUCAUACAAAAAGGUCCUUACGUGCCAACCAUUGAGAUUAAGGAUGGAGAGAUCACUAGAGUCAUUAUCAAAACUCGUCAACAAUAUAAUGACUCCGAUAAAAAACUUGUCCAGAAAAAUUAUAAAACCAAAAAAUUGCUGAUGUGCGCCAUUUGAAUGAACAAAUACGAUCUGAUCUCAUCGUGCGAAUCAACCAAAGAAAUUUGGGAUCUACUGAGAAUACCUAUGAUGACAUUGAGGAAACAAGGAAAUCUAAGCUAGAUUUCUUACUGCUGAGUUCGAAAGUUUCACCAUGAGAGAAAGUGAAUCUGUUCAUGAAAUGAGCAAAAGAUUCUCCACCGUUACAGACGAGCUCAUGCUCCUUGAAAAACCAGUGCCCAUGUGCAAGCAAGUCUCCAAGAUACUGGAAAUUCUUCCCAAAUCUUGGACAAAUGACCUUGUGAUCAGCAAUGAGACAAGAGAGCUUGAAGUAGUGACAUUGUGUACACUAUUUGAGCAUCUUCAAGAUCAUGAGAUGCACAGAAAAGGAAAGGGUCUAAGUCUCAAGGGUGAAGACAAAGAGGGGGACCAGGUUCGUGACAAUCUAAGCAGAAAAUAGACCUUUUUCUAGGCAGUAAAAAAGGAUAUGGCAGCAUGGAAAAAUUCCUCAAGUGAUUCAGAUGAUUCUAAACACUCUAAUGAUGCUCUCAUGGCAAAAUCAAAUGAGGAAGAUGAUGAUGAAAAGAUAACUCUAUCAUAUUUCAAGCAAAACUUGAAUACUUUUUCUACCAGUAAAUUGAGAAAGCUAGUUGUUGUACUACUUGAUUUGAUAAGUGAGCUAACAACUGAGAAUGAUCUCGUGAACAAUAGUCUAGAUAUCUCUCAAGAUGGAAAAAUUGCUUUAGUUGCCCAAAUAUCUGAUAUUGAAUAUCAAAUGGUUGUUCUAGAAGUUGAAAAUCUAGAACUGAAAGAAAAGAUGAAAGAGGUAACUAAUACAGUUUCUAAAGGAAAGAACGAGGCAAACAGCUUGCAGCUGGAGCUUGAAAAUAAGCUGUAUACUACUGAAAUGAAGAUGGAAUUGGCUUUAGAAAGAAAUCUUGAGUUGGAAAGGGACCUGGUCCGUGUAAAAGAGGAACUUGAAAAAUCCCUCAAAUUGAACAAUUCCUCUAUGAUCCUUACAAAUCUACUUGGUCAAGGAAACAACAGUAAAAGAGGGGUGGGCUGCGAAAAGAUCUUUCCCCCAUACAAUCCUCACAACAAAUCUGUUUAUGAUGCUGAUGAUCUGAUGUGUGUGCAUUGUGGUCAAGAUAGACAUCUUAAGAGAGAUUGUCCUGUGUUGAAAAAGUAUGGAAGAAGUUCGUCAAACUAUUCCAAACAGCGGAAUAGACUGAAGAAGGGACAUGGUCCUUCUUAUGGUCCUAAGUUGAAGAAAAGCAGUAUGGCUCAUUGGACAAAAGAUUUUAUUAUCACUCCGUUAUCUGCUUACUGGGAACUCUGUCUCAAAUGGGUUCCCAAGGCUAAUAAGUGAUUUGAUAUGCAAGUGAGAGAAAGUAGUAACAGUCAGUGUUGGUUUAUGAAUAACGGAUGCUCAAAGCACAUGACUAAGAAGGCUACACAACUUCCUCUCUCUCAAAGCACUUCAAGGUAGAGGUGUCUCUUUUGGCAAAUGGCAAGAAAUGGUAUGUUCUUGGUGUAGGUAUGACUUGAAAGUCUGUGAAACAUUCUUUUUAAAUUGUGUACUAUGUCAAUGGUUGAAGUACAAUAUUUUAAGUGUUUGACAGAUUUGUGAUGAAUGAAAUAAAGUUAAGCUCUUAUAAGAUAACUGUGGUGUCAGAAACUUGCUCUCUCGGGUGAUGAUCUUGACAUAAAAGAAAUGCAAGAACAUGUAUAUUACGGAUCUAAAUAUUGCUCGUGGUGACUGUCUAACUUGCCUUAGUGCUCAAGGUAAGAAUGUUGAGGUAUGACACAAGAGACAUGCUCAUGUGAGUGCUUCUCUACUGCAUAAACUUUUGUCAAAGGACCUGAUGCUCGAUCUGCUCAAAAUGAAAUUUGCAGAUGGCAAAGGUUGUGAUUGUGGUGUUGAAGAGAAGCAGAUCAGACCAUCCUUCAGGUGGAAUAAACAUGCUUUCAAUCUUUCAAAAAACUUUCGGGCUGAAGUGGUGAACACUACAUGUUUUGUGACCAAAAUGAUGAUAUUGAGAAGUUUGAUCUCAAUAUUGAUGAAAGAAUAGUUGUGGUAUACUCUUUUGCCAACAAGGCUUAUCGGGGUGUCUAAAAAGGUGGUCAUGUGAAUUUUUUAUGAAUCUGGAAGAGUUGAGAAGUUGCAAAAGAAAGAAGAUUGUGACAUGGAAGGGUUGCUUCAAAUUCAGAGAGACGGUUUUAAUAAUGAGCUUGCUGAAGAAUAUCCUCUUCAUGAAUACAACAAUCUCAAGGAAGCUAUGCAGAUGAUGAACCUGAUGAGGGACCUGGUCCAUUAGGCAGUGCUGAACAAAGAUGGUGCAAUUCAAACUGAUAAUGUGAAUUCUGAAGGUGAGAAUGAAGAAGCUGAUCAAGCUCAAUUUGAAAGAAGCAAAGUAUAACACUCGGUUCCCCAACAAGCUGAUAGGUUAUCCAAAUUCCUCCUCAACAAUGGCUUCAAAAGAGGUAAAAUUGACAAAACCCCUUUUGAAAUCACAAGGAAAGAAAUUGUUGAUUAUUCAAGUACAUAUUGAUGAUGUCAUCUUUGAAGCAACCUUUGAGGUAUUGUGUGAAGAGUUUGUUGCACUCAUGAAUAGUGAGUUUGAAGUAAGCAAAAUGGAAGAAUUAAAUUUCUUCUUAGAGCUACAGAUUUAGCAAACCUCUAAAGGUACCCUCGGUUGUCCAGAAAAGUACAUAAAUGAGUUUCUCAAAUGACUUAACAUACUUGAAGUCAAGACAAUGAUAAAGAGGGGUAAUGUCAUCAUGAAGUUUUGCAAAAUGAAAGAUCAAGUGGAUGACAUCUUCACCAAAGCCCUAGAAAGGACCAGUUGUAUACACUCAUAGAGACUUAGCUACAGGGAAAAAGAUAGCACAUCGUUCAGGGGAAUUGAUGUUUGAUCAAAGACUGGGACCUGGUACCGGUUCAAAGAAGCAGCUGAAAAAGUUUCAUGUUAUGGAUGCCUAGACAAUUCAUACUCCCAUGGGCACUAACUUGCUGUUGGAUGCUGAUGAACCUGGUUCAGAGACUCCAUUCUUGUAGAAAUGAAUCACAUUUGAGGGCUACUAAGAGAAUCCAAAGACACUUGAAGAAAACAAGGACUUGGUUCUAUUCUGUCCACCAUGAGCCUUUUUGAUUUGGAGGAACAUAUGAUGUUGAUUAUGCUGGGUAUCGAGUUGAUGGAAAGAGUACCUCAGGAGUGGCUUAUGUUAUUGGCUGAUCUCUCACUCAUAGGGAACUAAAAGGAAAGAUUCAUUUGCUCUUUCAACAACUGAGGCAGAGAAUGUAGCAACUGCAGCUUGAUGUGCUCAAUCUUGUUGAUCAAGCAGCACGUUGGAGCUCUUAGAAGACCUGGCUGAGAUAAUCAAACUGAAGUUGGCAAUGCUGAAACCUUAUUGAACAGAACCUUUCUGAAGCAAUCAACCCUCACAUGACUAUGCAAAGGGAACAAGUAUCCUUGCUUUUCAGUUAUAUAUGUUUUAGCAAAUUCAGUUUCAUACCUUUUGUAGGUAUACACACAUGGAGAAAGGGCUGAAGGAAAGGAGAAGUCAGGACAGAUCUAGGCAAUCAUAUUCAAACUACAGAGAGGGACCUGGUCCGUUCUCGAAGGUUAGCACUCUUAACAUUGCAUUUUGAAUUAUGCAUGAGAACUAUUGAAAUUGCCACAUGUCUGUCAUUCAGGUAUCUGACUACUACCUCAUCUUUUGAAUACCAAUGACACUUCCUUUCACAUGAUACACCCGUUUCAUUUUCUUUAUAUUCCAUAUUUCUUUCCAUCUCCCCAGAAAAUUCAAUUUCCCUUCCAAAUAGCAGAGUUUUUCGAAACUCUCUUUUCUCCUCUCUCAAAAACACUUCAAAUUGUUAAACCCUUUGUUCUUAUUGGAGAAUUUUUUGAUGAAGAUGUGUUUAAGUGUGAAGGGGACCAGGUCCACCAAUCAAAAGGAAGAAGUGGAAAAGAUGAUGUUCAAAAGGGAGAAGUUGAUAUUCUGAGAACUCAAAGUAUUCUGAAAAGGAGGGUGUCUGUUUUUUUUUAAAAAUAAUGAAAAAAAAUGUUUGAAAUGAAAUUUUCCUUUUUGGUUCCUCAAUUAUUGAUCUAUUCAUCUCGAAGGCCUUGAGUAAGUUUGAUUUUACUAAUCUUUCUGUUAUGAGAAACUCAGACUAGUGUUGGAAGCUAUGACAAUUGCUCUUGCUAAUAGGGAUACUAAAACGGUUUGCCUAAAGGCUUAGCUUCUAAAAAAACACUAUCAGAGGGAUCAGGUUGAAAAAAAAAACUGGCAGCCUUGAAGGUUCUGCAUGAAGACUGGCAGUAAAGCAUGUUGAACUUUAAGACAAAUUCUAAAAAAAAAAACAUGCUAAGGGAUAUGAUCUACUAAUUCUAUUCUUUCAAUCCCUUGAUGCUAAGUCAUCCCCUCUCUUCCUAAAUUCUCAUGUCAGUCCUCAUUCUUCUUUUUCUAUCGAAACUGAGUAGGCAUUGUCUGGUUCUCAUUCGUAAUGAUAUGUGCAAUGCUUUGAUUGCUGAUCUUGUAUUUAUGAAUGACAAAUGCCUUGUUUCUACUGCCUUGUCUCAUUACUUUAUGCAUUUUUACUCAUGCUCAGUGUUGCCCAAGUGGCCAUGAAUUUGCUUGAACUGUAUUUCUAUCAACUUGGUUUACUGCUUUAACCCCUUUUUAUGAUGUCAAAAGGGGGAAAAAUUGUUAAGGUAUGAGAUCAAUGAUGUUAGAUACUUGAAGAGGACAUAGUCAUGCCGAUAGGGGGAAUAAAUGUAGCACUUGAAGAGGACAUGGUCAUGUCGAUAGGGGGAAUAAAUACUAGCUACUUGAAGAGGACAUGGUCAUGUCGAUAGGGGGAAUAAAUACUAGCUACUUGAAGAGGACAUGGUCAUGUCGAUAGGGGGAAUCAAUGCUACUUGAACAACACAUGGUCAUGUUGCUGAUAAGGGGAAGAAGUUGAACAAGUUUGUCAUCAUCAAAAAGGGGGAAAAUGCUAUUUUGAUGUUUUGAUGAUUUGACAAACUUUCAGGAUAAUGAAACUCCAGUUACUUGAAGAGUUCUUGUUGAUAGGGGGAACUAGUGAAUAAGUCUGCUAUCAUCAAAAAGGGUGAAAAUGUUAUUUUGGUGCUGAUGCUAAGUUUUGAUGAUUUAACAAACUUAGAGAUCUAACAAGGAACCAGAUCCUUGUUAUUAGGACUGAUGACAGUGAAUUGAAUGAAUAAACUCAGUGUGAGGAAUAUUUGUGUGUAAUAAUCAAAAAGGGGGAAAAUGUUAUAUUCUAGGUGUUUUGAUGAUCCUCACAAAUGCAGGGACUUGGUCCCUGGCAGAGUCCUCUCGUCUAGAUUCAAAUGGGGUACACUGUAAAGCUGUCACGUCAGGUGGUAGGUGAAAAAUGCAGUAAGCGUAGUGUACUACACCAAUACGAAGAGUGGACGAGACUAUCUGUUUCAGUGUCUCACAAAUGCAGGGACCUGGUCCCUGGCUGAGUUCUCUCGUCCAGAUCUAUAUGUGGUACAACUGGAAAGUUUUCACGUCAGAAGUUGGUGAGGUCAUCAGUGUACUACACCAAUCAGAAUCGACGAGGUUGUUGUCCAACGGUCAAUAACUUCUUAUGGUUGACUUAGUUAACAUGACAAACAAGAAAUUAAUUCAUUCAUUCAAAAGGAGAGAGAGCCAACACGUCUUCUCAAGAACUUACUAAGAAAAGUCUAUAAGGGACCUGGUCCCUACAAGACUGUGUACGUGAAAGGAAGAUAGUACAACUGUAAAGCUAUCACUUCUGAUGUGACAGGUGCACGUCUUUAAAGAGAAGGCAGGCUCUCAGCCAAUGGGCAGUCCCAAGGAGUUUGUGGUCAUUUUAAUAUAGUCUCUUCCAACAAAACACAAACUCAAGAUUUGGCAAGCUAAAACUCACAAGCAAAAAAAAGAAGAAAGCCAUCUCCAAGGAAGAACUCAAGCACAAGAACACAUACAACAAGGACCUGAUCAACAGAAAGAGUGUUUUCCGUACCAACUAUUGUUCUUGAUUGUUUGUAUUUGUACUUAACUUGUAGGAUUCGUUUCACUCUUGUUAGAAAUGUUUCAAAACUUUGUUUUGAGUCUUGUAAGAACAUAGUUAGGGGUAACUUUGUGUCUUACGGUCAAAAGUCUAUAUUAAUCAGUGAGGGUUAGUAUAGUGAGCAGUGUUGUACAUGCUUAGGCUCGGUUGAGUAAUAGGUGAUAUUACUUAGUGUGGAGAUUAGAAGGUUAAUCUCAAGUUAUAAACUGCGUUUUACUUUUGCUUGUGAAGAUUAGUGAAAGCAGUUUGAAAAGUCCUGUGAGACAAGUCGUGGUUUUACUCCCUUGAGCAAGGAGGUUUNNNNNNNNNNNNNNNNNNNNNNNNNNNNNNNNNNNNNNNNNNNNNNNNNNNNNNNNNNNNNNNNNNNNNNNNNNNNNNNNNNNNNNNNNNNNNNNNNNNNNNNNNNNNNNNNNNNNNNNNNNNNNNNNNNNNNNNNNNNNNNNNNNNNNNNNNNNNNNNNNNNNNNNNNNNNNNNNNNNNNNNNNNNNNNNNNNNNNNNNNNNNNNNNNNNNNNNNNNNNNNNNNNNNNNNNNNNNNNNNNNNNNNNNNNNNNNNNNNNNNNNNNNNNNNNNNNNNNNNNNNNNNNNNNNNNNNNNNNNNNNNNNNNNNNNNNNNNNNNNNNNNNNNNNNNNNNNNNNNNNNNNNNNNNNNNNNNNNNNNNNNNNNNNNNNNNNNNNNNNNNNNNNNNNNNNNNNNNNNNNNNNNNNNNNNNNNNNNNNNNNNNNNNNNNNNNNNNNNNNNNNNNNNNNNNNNNNNNNNNNNNNNNNNNNNNNNNNNNNNNNNNNNNNNNNNNNNNNNNNNNNNNNNNNNNNNNNNNNNNNNNNNNNNNNNNNNNNNNNNNNNNNNNNNNNNNNNNNNNNNNNNNNNNNNNNNNNNNNNNNNNNNNNNNNNNNNNNNNNNNNNNNNNNNNNNNNNNNNNNNNNNNNNNNNNNNNNNNNNNNNNNNNNNNNNNNNNNNNNNNNNNNNNNNNNNNNNNNNNNNNNNNNNNNNNNNNNNNNNNNNNNNNNNNNNNNNNNNNNNNNNNNNNNNNNNNNNNNNNNNNNNNNNNNNNNNNNNNNNNNNNNNNNNNNNNNNNNNNNNNNNNNNNNNNNNNNNNNNNNNNNNNNNNNNNNNNNNNNNNNNNNNNNNNNNNNNNNNNNNNNNNNNNNNNNNNNNNNNNNNNNNNNNNNNNNNNNNNNNNNNNNNNNNNNNNNNNNNNNNNNNNNNNNNNNNNNNNNNNNNNNNNNNNNNNNNNNNNNNNNNNNNNNNNNNNNNNNNNNNNNNNNNNNNNNNNNNNNNNNNNNNNNNNNNNNNNNNNNNNNNNNNNNNNNNNNNNNNNNNNNNNNNNNNNNNNNNNNNNNNNNNNNNNNNNNNNNNNNNNNNNNNNNNNNNNNNNNNNNNNNNNNNNNNNNNNNNNNNNNNNNNNNNNNNNNNNNNNNNNNNNNNNNNNNNNNNNNNNNNNNNNNNNNNNNNNNNNNNNNNNNNNNNNNNNNNNNNNNNNNNNNNNNNNNNNNNNNNNNNNNNNNNNNNNNNNNNNNNNNNNNNNNNNNNNNNNNNNNNNNNNNNNNNNNNNNNNNNNNNNNNNNNNNNNNNNNNNNNNNNNNNNNNNNNNNNNNNNNNNNNNNNNNNNNNNNNNNNNNNNNNNNNNNNNNNNNNNNNNNNNNNNNNNNNNNNNNNNNNNNNNNNNNNNNNNNNNNNNNNNNNNNNNNNNNNNNNNNNNNNNNNNNNNNNNNNNNNNNNNNNNNNNNNNNNNNNNNNNNNNNNNNNNNNNNNNNNNNNNNNNNNUUCAGUGUCUCACAAAUGCAGGGACCUGGUCCCUGGCUGAGUUCUCUCGUCCAGAUCUAUAUGUGGUACAACUGGAAAGUUUUCACGUCAGAAGUUGGUGAGGUCAUCAGUGUACUACACCAAUCAGAAUCGACGAGGUUGUUGUCCAACGGUCAAUAACUUCUUAUGGUUGACUUAGUUAACAUGACAAACAAGAAAUUAAUUCAUUCAUUCAAAAGGAGAGAGAGCCAACACGUCUUCUCAAGAACUUACUAAGAAAAGUCUAUAAGGGACCUGGUCCCUACAAGACUGUGUACGUGAAAGGAAGAUAGUACAACUGUAAAGCUAUCACUUCUGAUGUGACAGGUGCACGUCUUUAAAGAGAAGGCAGGCUCUCAGCCAAUGGGCAGUCCCAAGGAGUUUGUGGUCAUUUUAAUAUAGUCUCUUCCAACAAAACACAAACUCAAGAUUUGGCAAGCUAAAACUCACAAGCAAAAAAAAGAAGAAAGCCAUCUCCAAGGAAGAACUCAAGCACAAGAACACAUACAACAAGGACCUGAUCAACAGAAAGAGUGUUUUCCGUACCAACUAUUGUUCUUGAUUGUUUGUAUUUGUACUUAACUUGUAGGAUUCGUUUCACUCUUGUUAGAAAUGUUUCAAAACUUUGUUUUGAGUCUUGUAAGAACAUAGUUAGGGGUAACUUUGUGUCUUACGGUCAAAAGUCUAUAUUAAUCAGUGAGGGUUAGUAUAGUGAGCAGUGUUGUACAUGCUUAGGCUCGGUUGAGUAAUAGGUGAUAUUACUUAGUGUGGAGAUUAGAAGGUUAAUCUCAAGUUAUAAACUGCGUUUUACUUUUGCUUGUGAAGAUUAGUGAAAGCAGUUUGAAAAGUCCUGUGAGACAAGUCGUGGUUUUACUCCCUUGAGCAAGGAGGUUUCCACGUAAAAUACUUGUGCAAAUCUUACUUCCAGUUGUUUAUUUUCUGCACAUUUUUAGUUACUGUUCUUGCUGAGUCAAGGGACCUGGUCCUUGACUGAUAGUGGAUGCAUACAUUCCAACAGUUCACAUACAGGAUCAUUGUUCAAUGGGGACCAACUUCAUAGAAAUUUCCAGCAAAUUUAUUGUGUUCACAAAGAGUAAAGACUUUGCCUAUUUUCAGCCUCUAUAGGAAACUUGUUAUAAACUUCCUAAUUCAUGACAUAAAAAUGUUCCUUUUUUCAGUAUUGCACUGAUAAAUUAAACAAAUGAACAACAAAUUGAUACCUUUCUGUAAAUUGAUAUAAAUUCGUUGCCUUACCUGAGAAUUUGCUGUCAAGUUGUAUUUUGGUCCAAAAAUGCAUUCGCCGUCAAUAUUUGGUCCAAAAUGCCUUAUUGUUAUUUAAUGGGUCAAAAAUGCUCAUUUUCCAAAUUAAUAUAUUAGUAUUUUCUUUUGAUACAUUUUUUUCUAAUAAUGUUUUUAUAAAAAAAUUAGCAAAUGUUUAUCUUACUUCAAUUCAGAAAAAAAAAAAUGAAAAUAUUUCUUAUUUUUUUAUCAUUAAUUUUUAUUGUUAUAUAAAUAUAAAUUAAUAAUGGAUAUACUCUGAUCUUAUAUAUAUGACACAUAUUAUCUGUCGAAAGGGUACAUUCUAUUUUAAUUGAUAAAAUGAGAUUCAGAAGAAAAAAAUAUUUCCUACAUUUUAUUUGUUAAAGUGAUUUUUAGAAGAAAGAAAACAAGAAUAGUGUUCUUUAAUAAUAUUUUAAUUAGGAAUAAGAUGUGUUUAAAAAGAAAAAAAUAAUAUAUUUAUUCAGAAAAGGGCAUUUUUGAACCAUUUUGUAACUAUAGGGGCAUUUCUGGAUCAAAGUAUUGACUGCAGGGGCAUUUUUUAGCCAAAGUAUUGACGAUAAGGAUAUUUUUGAGCCAAACUAUAAACUGAGGGCAUUUUUGUUCCUUUCACAUAGUUUAAGGGAAUUUUUGACCCUUUUCCCUUUAUUCAAUCGUUGUUGUAUUUUUAUGUUUUUUUUUCUAUUUUCACUAUUUAUAGUUUUUCUUUUGUCCUUUUGGCUACAGACUUUAUGUAAGAGUUUUUUUUUUCUUACUCCCUGUUUCGUACCCAUAGUAAAGCCCAAUUAUUGUGGAGUCAUACCAUGUAGGGCCCCAUUCGAGGGGGAAAAGCAGGAAAACGCUUUGUACGAAUGAUUGACAAGCUGACGAAGUUUGUCCGGUUUUAACGUUUUCUUUAAUAGUGUUUAUUAGCAAUAAACAAGCGUUUUUUUACUCGUAUUGAAGAUGAGUUUUUUUUUUUAAUUAUCCGUAUUGAGUUAAAUUAAAAAUUAGAAAGUGAGUAUUUGUGUUAAAUCAAGAUAGCCGGGAUGAUAUGAAAUAAACAAAAAUACGUGGUGUUAUUUAAUUUAAUUGAAUGUUUAAGAAAGAAAAUUGAAGCACUUUCGUCGGUUAUUAUACAUGAAAAAAUACAUAAAAAAAUCUCAAAAAAUAUCAUAUCAAGGUUCAUACAUUAAUUUUUAUUUUUUUAAAAGGAAACUAACGAACACAAGUUAUAUUGACAAACACCAACUAAAGUCGCAUACCCUUGUGCAUAGGACUCAAUUAUUUUUAAUAAGUAUAAAUUUUCAAAUUAAAAAUGUCUCUCCAAAUACAAAUAACCUUUUUCAUAUAAACAGACCUUUGCCUCACUCAUUGCUUCUUCUUUUCUUUUUUCUAUGACCGCUAUCAUCACUCAUUGCUUCCUGUUCAUACACCAGCCGAAUUCCCCAGCAUGCUUCUUUGGUCUCCGGCCAGAACAUGUGAGAAAACUCCAACAUGUAAUAAUCAUUUGGAUUCUUCCCUUCUUUAUUGCCAGAAGCAUUCCACAAUGUUUCAAAUGGUAUGUAGACGCAACAUAUGAAAGGAUACUUGGACACCAUAUUUUCAUGGAAGCUGUUGUUAGACUUCAAGGAAUAUUUUCUUUCAGGGUCACAUUUGCAGACCAAUGUAGCUUCUAAUCUUAUGUACUUUGUAGUAGGACCGUAGGUUAUCCAAAAACCCAUGAAUUUAUUGGUAUACCAAGAUGGAUUCAGAUCAAUUGACAUCUUUUCUUGAUUUAUAAACGGACAAUCAUAAUCGAACAACUCUGAAAUUCUGACUCUGGGAAAAUUAAUGAGAAAAUAAUCCCUUUGAUGGAAGUCACACUGCAUGCAAUAGAAUAGAGAUUAUUAUUACUACUAGAAACCAAUUAGACAAGAAUAUUCAACAUUCAUAUAUGAGAUAAAAACCUGGAUGCAUGUCCUGAGAAAAUGCUGUAGGAACACAUUAACUUGUUCACUUGAGACGGCUCCACAGUCGGAUAUUACGAGCCAAUACAGCUUAAGACAAUUAAUUACGAGAUCUUUGAUGCUCUUCAAGGCUAAAUGAUAAUCUGCUAAUAGCUCCCUUAAAUUUGGGGGUAGCUCUCCUGGCAGUUCAUUAAGAUUCUGACAGAAUUGUAUGUUCAGAUGCUGAAGGUGUAAGAGUCCUUUAAAGCUUUUUGGUAAACAAGAAAUAUUGCUUCCACUUAAACGCAAGCUUGUCAAAGAGUGCAAAGAUCCUAAAUCCUCAGGAAGUCCCCACAAGCAUAACACUUUCAGUUUCCCAAGCUUGGUGAUGGAGAGAGGUGGUUGGUAUAUUGCAGUUUCGCCCGCAUCAAACAUACGUAACUCUUGCAAAUCACCCAUGUUUUCUGGAAGCUUCUCUAACUUUUUGCACCCUCUGAGGAAAAGAUAUUGAAGAUUCAUCAAAUUACAGAGGCUGUCUGGUAGACUUACAAGAUCUUCACAACCU